This 186-nucleotide ribosomal RNA is filed under the name uncultured bacterium. RNAcentral describes it as "partial 16S ribosomal RNA". It matches the Rfam family "Bacterial small subunit ribosomal RNA", at positions 1315 to 1500 of the family's 1533-position model. The record is from RNAcentral.
CCUGCGUGAAGUUGGAAUCGCUAGUAAUCGCGGAUCAGCAUGCCGCGGUGAAUACGUUCCCGGGCCUUGUACACACCGCCCGUCACACCAUGGGAGUCGGUAACACCCGAAGUCGGUAGUCUAACCGAAAGGAGGACGCCGCCGAAGGUGGGAUUGAUGACUGGGGUGAAGUCGUAACAAGGUACC